This 1215-nucleotide ribosomal RNA is filed under the name metagenome. Its description in RNAcentral is "bacterial LSU rRNA". It matches the Rfam family "Bacterial large subunit ribosomal RNA", at positions 1671 to 2874 of the family's 2925-position model. The record is from RNAcentral.
GUUGAAAAUACCAAGGCGCUUGAGAGAACUCAGGAGAAGGAACUCGGCAAAUUGAUACCGUAACUUCGGGAGAAGGUAUGCCCCGGUGGCUUGUAGUCGUACAGACGAAGGGCGAUGGGGCCGCAGAGAAUCGGUGGCUGCGACUGUUUAAUAAAAACACAGCACUCUGCAAACACGAAAGUGGACGUAUAGGGUGCGACGCCUGCCCGGUGCCGGAAGGUUAAUUGAUGGGGUGCAAGCUCUUGAUCGAAGCCCCGGUAAACGGCGGCCGUAACUAUAACGGUCCUAAGGUAGCGAAAUUCCUUGUCGGGUAAGUUCCGACCUGCACGAAUGGCGUAACGAUGGCCACACUGUCUCCUCCUGAGACUCAGCGAAGUUGAAAUGUUUGUGAAGAUGCAAUCUCCCCGCGGCUAGACGGAAAGACCCCAUGAACCUUUACUGUAGCUUUACAUUGGACUUUGACGGGACUUGUGUAGGAUAGGUGGGAGGCUUUGAAGCCGGGACGCUAGUUCCGGUGGAGCCAACCUUGAAAUACCACCCUGGUGUCGUUGAGGUUCUAACCUUGAUCCGUGAAUCCGGAUCGGGGACCGUGUAUGGUGGGCAGUUUGACUGGGGCGGUCUCCUCCCAAAGAGUAACGGAGGAGUACGAAGGUCUUCUAGGUACGGUCGGACAUCGUACUGAUAGUGCAAUGGCAAAAGAAGGCUUGACUGCGAGACCCACAAGUCGAGCAGGUGCGAAAGCAGGUCAUAGUGAUCCGGUGGUUCUGUAUGGAAGGGCCAUCGCUCAACGGAUAAAAGGUACUCUGGGGAUAACAGGCUGAUUCCGCCCAAGAGUUCACAUCGACGGCGGAGUUUGGCACCUCGAUGUCGGCUCAUCACAUCCUGGGGCUGUAGCCGGUCCCAAGGGUAUGGCUGUUCGCCAUUUAAAGUGGUACGUGAGCUGGGUUUAAAACGUCGUGAGACAGUUUGGUCCCUAUCUGCCGUGGGCGUUGGAAGUUUGAGGGGACCUGCUCCUAGUACGAGAGGACCGGAGUGGACAGAUCUCUGGUGUACCGGUUGUCACGCCAGUGGCAUCGCCGGGUAGCUAAAUCUGGAAGAGAUAACCGCUGAAAGCAUCUAAGCGGGAAACUCGCCUCAAGAUGAGACUUCCCUGGGGAUUCGAUCCCCCUGAAGGGUCGUUCAAGACCAGGACGUUGAUAGGUCAGGUGUGGAAGC